RNAcentral lists this ribosomal RNA (713 nucleotides) under uncultured bacterium #0319-2C8. Its description in RNAcentral is "bacterial SSU rRNA". It matches the Rfam family "Bacterial small subunit ribosomal RNA", at positions 165 to 889 of the family's 1533-position model. The record is from RNAcentral. Lineage: Bacteria; Bacillati; Actinomycetota; Actinomycetes.
AAUACCGGAUAUGACUGAUCAUCGCAUGGUGGUUGGUGGAAAGCUUUUUGUGGUUUUGGAUGGACUCGCGGCCUAUCAGCUUGUUGGUGAGGCAAUGGCUUACCAAGGCGACGACGGGUAGCCGGCCUGAGAGGGUGACCGGCCACACUGGGACUGAGACACGGCCCAGACUCCUACGGGAGGCAGCAGUGGGGAAUAUUGCACAAUGGGCGCAAGCCUGAUGCAGCGACGCCGCGUGAGGGAUGACGGCCUUCGGGUUGUAAACCUCUUUCAGUAGGGAAGAAGCGAAAGUGACGGUACCUGCAGAAGAAGCGCCGGCUAAUAACGUGCCAGCAGCCGCGGUAAUACGUAGGGCGCAAGCGUUAUCCGGAAUUAUUGGGCGUAAAGAGNUCGUAGGCGGUUUGUCGCNUCUNCCGUGAAAGUCCGGGGNUCAACUCCGGAUCUGCGGUGGGUACGGGCAGACUAGAGUGAUGUAGGGGAGACUGGAAUUCCUGGUGUAGCGGUGAAAUGCGCAGAUAUCAGGAGGAACACCGAUGGCGAAGGCAGGUCUCUGGGCAUUAACUGACGCUGAGGAGCGAAAGCAUGGGGAGCGAACAGGAUUAGAUACCCUGGUAGUCCAUNCCGUAAACGUUGGGCACUAGGUGUGGGGGACAUUCCACGUUUUCCGCGCCGUAGUUAACGCAUUAAGUNCCCCGCCUGGGGAGUACGGCCGC